This 2932-nucleotide ribosomal RNA is filed under the name Enterobacter hormaechei. RNAcentral describes it as "bacterial LSU rRNA". It matches the Rfam family "Bacterial large subunit ribosomal RNA". The record is from RNAcentral. Lineage: Bacteria; Pseudomonadati; Pseudomonadota; Gammaproteobacteria; Enterobacterales; Enterobacteriaceae.
GGGUUGUGAGGUUAAGCGACUAAGCGUACACGGUGGAUGCCCUGGCAGUCAGAGGCGAUGAAGGACGUGCUAAUCUGCGAAAAGCGCCGGCGAGGUGAUAUGAACCUUUGACCCGGCGAUGUCCGAAUGGGGAAACCCAGUGCAAUCCGUUGCACUAUCGUUAACUGAAUACAUAGGUUAACGAGGCGAACCGGGGGAACUGAAACAUCUAAGUACCCCGAGGAAAAGAAAUCAACCGAGAUUCCCCCAGUAGCGGCGAGCGAACGGGGAGCAGCCCGGAGUCUGAAUCAGCUUGUGUGUUAGUGGAACGGUCUGGAAAGUCCGACGGUACAGGGUGAUAGUCCCGUACACGAAAGCACACAUGCUGUGAACUCGAAGAGUAGGGCGGGACACGUGGUAUCCUGUCUGAAUAUGGGGGGACCAUCCUCCAAGGCUAAAUACUCCUGACUGACCGAUAGUGAACCAGUACCGUGAGGGAAAGGCGAAAAGAACCCCGGCGAGGGGAGUGAAAAAGAACCUGAAACCGUGUACGUACAAGCAGUGGGAGCCUCUUUAUGGGGUGACUGCGUACCUUUUGUAUAAUGGGUCAGCGACUUAUAUUCUGUAGCAAGGUUAACCGUAUAGGGGAGCCGAAGGGAAACCGAGUCUUAACUGGGCGUUAAGUUGCAGGGUAUAGACCCGAAACCCGGUGAUCUAGCCAUGGGCAGGUUGAAGGUUGGGUAACACUAACUGGAGGACCGAACCGACUAAUGUUGAAAAAUUAGCGGAUGACCUGUGGCUGGGGGUGAAAGGCCAAUCAAACCGGGAGAUAGCUGGUUCUCCCCGAAAGCUAUUUAGGUAGCGCCUCGUGAACUCAUCUUCGGGGGUAGAGCACUGUUUCGGCUAGGGGGCCAUCCCGGCUUACCAACCCGAUGCAAACUACGAAUACCGAAGAAUGUUAUCACGGGAGACACACGGCGGGUGCUAACGUCCGUCGUGAAGAGGGAAACAACCCAGACCGCCAGCUAAGGUCCCAAAGUCAUGGUUAAGUGGGAAACGAUGUGGGAAGGCACAGACAGCCAGGAUGUUGGCUUAGAAGCAGCCAUCAUUUAAAGAAAGCGUAAUAGCUCACUGGUCGAGUCGGCCUGCGCGGAAGAUGUAACGGGGCUAAACCAUGCACCGAAGCUGCGGCAGCGACGCUUAUGCGUUGUUGGGUAGGGGAGCGUUCUGUAAGCCGUUGAAGGUGUCCUGUGAGGGGUGCUGGAGGUAUCAGAAGUGCGAAUGCUGACAUAAGUAACGAUAAAGCGGGUGAAAAGCCCGCUCGCCGGAAGACCAAGGGUUCCUGUCCAACGUUAAUCGGGGCAGGGUGAGUCGACCCCUAAGGCGAGGCCGAAAGGCGUAGUCGAUGGGAAACAGGUUAAUAUUCCUGUACUUGGUGUUACUGCGAAGGGGGGACGGAGAAGGCUAUGUCAGCCGGGCGACGGUUGUCCCGGUUUAAGCAUGUAGGCGGAGGUUCCAGGUAAAUCCGGUACCUUGUUAACGCUGAGGUGUGAUGACGAGGCACUACGGUGCUGAAGUGAUAAAUGCCCUGCUUCCAGGAAAAGCCUCUAAGCAUCAGGUAACACGAAAUCGUACCCCAAACCGACACAGGUGGUCAGGUAGAGAAUACCAAGGCGCUUGAGAGAACUCGGGUGAAGGAACUAGGCAAAAUGGUGCCGUAACUUCGGGAGAAGGCACGCUGAUGUGUAGGUGAAGUCCCUGCGGACGGAGCUGAAAUCAGUCGAAGAUACCAGCUGGCUGCAACUGUUUAUUAAAAACACAGCACUGUGCAAACACGAAAGUGGACGUAUACGGUGUGACGCCUGCCCGGUGCCGGAAGGUUAAUUGAUGGGGUUAGCGGCAACGCGAAGCUCUUGAUCGAAGCCCCGGUAAACGGCGGCCGUAACUAUAACGGUCCUAAGGUAGCGAAAUUCCUUGUCGGGUAAGUUCCGACCUGCACGAAUGGCGUAAUGAUGGCCAGGCUGUCUCCACCCGAGACUCAGUGAAAUUGAACUCGCUGUGAAGAUGCAGUGUACCCGCGGCAAGACGGAAAGACCCCGUGAACCUUUACUAUAGCUUGACACUGAACACUGGUCCUUGAUGUGUAGGAUAGGUGGGAGGCUUUGAAGCGUGGACGCCAGUCUGCGUGGAGCCAACCUUGAAAUACCACCCUUUAAUGGCUGGUGUUCUAACGUAGACCCGUAAUCCGGGUUGCGGACAGUGUCUGGUGGGUAGUUUGACUGGGGCGGUCUCCUCCCAAAGAGUAACGGAGGAGCACGAAGGUUGGCUAAUCCUGGUCGGACAUCAGGAGGUUAGUGCAAUGGCAUAAGCCAGCUUGACUGCGAGCGUGACGGCGCGAGCAGGUGCGAAAGCAGGUCAUAGUGAUCCGGUGGUUCUGAAUGGAAGGGCCAUCGCUCAACGGAUAAAAGGUACUCCGGGGAUAACAGGCUGAUACCGCCCAAGAGUUCAUAUCGACGGCGGUGUUUGGCACCUCGAUGUCGGCUCAUCACAUCCUGGGGCUGAAGUAGGUCCCAAGGGUAUGGCUGUUCGCCAUUUAAAGUGGUACGCGAGCUGGGUUUAGAACGUCGUGAGACAGUUCGGUCCCUAUCUGCCGUGGGCGCUGGAGAAUUGAGGGGGGCUGCUCCUAGUACGAGAGGACCGGAGUGGACGCAUCACUGGUGUUCGGGUUGUCAUGCCAAUGGCACUGCCCGGUAGCUAAAUGCGGAAGAGAUAAGUGCUGAAAGCAUCUAAGCACGAAACUUGCCCCGAGAUGAGUUCUCCCUGAGACCUUGAGUCUCCUGAAGGAACGUUGAAGACGACGACGUUGAUAGGUCGGGUGUGUAAGCGCAGCGAUGCGUUGAGCUAACCGAUACUAAUGAACCGUGAGGCUUAACCUUACAACGCCGAAGCUGUU